Molecule: ribosomal RNA, 720 nt
Filed under: Triticum aestivum (bread wheat)
Lineage: Eukaryota; Viridiplantae; Streptophyta; Magnoliopsida; Poales; Poaceae
Description: partial small subunit ribosomal RNA
Source: RNAcentral
CCCCAUUCCUCUUUCUCCUCUUCCUCUUCCACCCAUGCCCGACCAGUCCCAUCCGCCGCCGCGCGCUCCCGAUCCGGAGGAGCAGCUCCUCCCACGCCCGAGCCCGCUGAACCCAGCCUAGCACCCGCGCCCACCGCCCCUGUGCAGGUCCGCCUCGUCGAAGAUCCACAUCGCGUCGCUGCCCGUUCAGGAUCCAACCUCAACGCCUCCUGGCUAGGCUUGAGGAACGCAUGCCGGGAGAGCCUCCGCCGCGCCGGUGGUAGCGGCGGCGAGGCCGACGCGCCAACGACCAUUGUUCAAGGGGCCAUGCAGGAUGUGCUUCCGCAUCACCCUCUCCUCCACUCCGACGGUGGCCUCGGACAGGGCAGGAAUUGGAUAACACGUCCACCACCUGAUCGAGCACAACCGCAACAGAGGAGGGCCACCUCUGCCUCGUCGUGCAGGAGAUGCUUCACUAGGGCUGAAGUCAUUGUCUGGUUCUUCUUCCUUCUAUGAUUCCAUUUUGAUUUUUUGCCGGUAGUUCAUGAUGUCGUUUCUCCACAAUCCUUACCGUGCUUGUGUAGAAGAACAGAUCCAAUUUUUCGAGAGAAACAUGCUUUGUUGAUCUGUUGCUGCUGCUCACGCAGGUGUCGGAGCAGGUGCUUCGUGACGGCUGGGUUUGUCUAUAGGUAUGUCCUUUUUGUGUUGAAUUUGAGCACAACUAGUCUGGUUUGUUUUAGC